UCCCGGGGUGAAGCUUCAGCCCCCGCGGGAUGCGGCGCUCCUUUUUUUUUGGAAGCGAGUUUCUAAGGGCCAGAACGGCUCGGCCCAGUGUUCGGGUGGUUGCAGGGGCUUGUGACCGCGUGGGCCUGUCCCCAGUGUUCGCACGUUGCAGUGUGGUGCAGUAGGAAUUUUUUUUUUUUUUUUAAAGGAGUGUGGCUUUUACGUCUUUAUUUUUACAAGGGGUGAGGUCGGCCGACCUGGUGUUUAUUCAUGAAGGACAUGUAUUGGAGAGGGCAUUACCGACGUUAGACGGGCACAGUACUUUAAUUCCCUCCGUCUCAUUGCGCGGUCAUUUUAAUUUUACUACUCCAGAGCAAACUUAUUUUUACUGGGGAACCUAGGACGACCUACAUGGCUUUUAAUUCUCAUGUUUUUAAAAUGUCUUCGCGCUCUCCCAUCAGAAACCCCGAGUUCCUCCCGUGCUAACGCCUUGCAGCUCAGACGCAACGGCACGAAUGAAAUGUAUAUUGACACACACUCCAAAAUCUUUGCGAUGAAGAAUGAGACUUUUUUCCACUGGCAUUUCUCGACCAUAUGUUUACUUUGUAGCACUGUGGUUGCUACAAAUCAGAUAUGAAAGGAAAAGAGAGCUUUCUUGGAACAUUUACAAGCACAGCACUUUACCAGACCCCCUGCUGGAGGGAGGAAGGCUAGAAAUGAAUACCCUUGAAGUCUUGAAAACAGUCUAGCAGUGGAAAUAAGACAACUACACCAAAUAACUAAGUUAUUGUUGGAUUCUUCUGAUUUGGGAAAAUGGCAUGUCAUCGGUAAACUCCACACUCAGGCUAAGAAGUUUGGAUCCUUAGCCAAAAAUAUUUCAAUCAUAAGGAUGUAAAAGACUGAAUGAAUUAGAUCGUUGAUAAAGACAAGUCACUCAAAAAACAAUGGAUACUGAAACCCCUUCCAGGAGGCAGAAGUUACGGAUCAGUGAUGGUAUGCUGACCCAAAGCAUGUAAACCCCAGACCUGUUGGACUUGAAGGUGGAUGAUGCCGACUCCUAGUUAGCUCACUACCAACCCAUCAGAAGAAUGUCCACAAGCUGAUCAUGCCCUCUUUGAACAAUUACUAUAAAACUCAUCACUAUUUUCCCCAAAUUGGGACACUUAGUUUGGCGGGCAUGAGCCCACUGUGCCUCUUUACCUGGCAAAGCAAUAAAGCUAGCUUUUCUGCUUCACCCAAAA
Molecule: long non-coding RNA, 1220 nt
Organism: Odocoileus virginianus texanus
Lineage: Eukaryota; Metazoa; Chordata; Mammalia; Artiodactyla; Cervidae
Source: RefSeq, a predicted model, not a curated record